This 230-nucleotide ribosomal RNA is filed under the name uncultured bacterium. RNAcentral describes it as "partial 16S ribosomal RNA". It matches the Rfam family "Bacterial small subunit ribosomal RNA", at positions 524 to 753 of the family's 1533-position model. The record is from RNAcentral.
UACGAAGGGGGCUAGCGUUGUUCGGAAUCACUGGGCGUAAAGCGCACGUAGGCGGAUUGUUAAGUCGGGGGUGAAAUCCUGAGGCUCAACCUCAGAACUGCCUUCGAUACUGGCAAUCUCGAGUCCGGAAGAGGUUGGUGGAACAGCUAGUGUAGAGGUGAAAUUCGUAGAUAUUAGCUAGAACACCAGUGGCGAAGGCGGCCAACUGGACAGAUACUGACGCUGAGACA